This 274-nucleotide ribosomal RNA is filed under the name uncultured bacterium. Its description in RNAcentral is "partial 16S ribosomal RNA". It matches the Rfam family "Bacterial small subunit ribosomal RNA", at positions 523 to 796 of the family's 1533-position model. The record is from RNAcentral.
CUACGGAGGGUGCAAGCGUUACUCGGAAUCACUGGGCGUAAAGCGCGCGCAGGCGGCUAUUUAAGUUGGAUGUGAAAGCCUACGGCUCAACCGUAGAACUGCAUCCAAAACUAUUUAGCUAGAGUGUGGGAGAGGAAGAUGGAAUUAGUUGUGUAGGGGUAAAAUCCGUAGAGAUAACUAGGAAUACCAAAAGCGAAGGCAAUCUUCUGGAACACUUCUGACGCUGAGGCGCGAAAGCGUGGGGAGCAAACGGGAUUAGAAACCCCAGUAGUCC